GUCCCUAUCGACUCGAGGCCUAGGACAUCGCCCUGUCACGGCGGUAACCGGGGUGCGAAUCCCCGUAGGGACGCCA
RNAcentral lists this transfer RNA (76 nucleotides) under Acinetobacter entericus. Its description in RNAcentral is "Acinetobacter sp. BIT-DXN8 tRNA-Asp". It matches the Rfam family "tRNA". Rfam says of the family: Transfer RNA (tRNA) molecules are approximately 80 nucleotides in length. The record is from RNAcentral. Lineage: Bacteria; Pseudomonadati; Pseudomonadota; Gammaproteobacteria; Moraxellales; Moraxellaceae.